GUAGGAGCAGCAACCACUUGGAGGUGGUCCUUUAACCAAACCUGAGUAAUGGAUCCUUUCUAUUACAAAGGAACGAACCAAAAGAAAGAAGAAAAAAGGAAGAGAAAAAAAAGGGAAAUACCUGGAGAAUAAUCGGAGAGACCGUCCAGUCAUCGAAGCCUAAAGCAGCUCUGUCAAGGCUCCUGAUAGUCUCUGCCAGCACAAUGCCACCGAUGCAACCCAUAUCCUCCAUCUGUCGAAUCAUGGGGCAGAGUCGCAAAUCCCCAAAGCCUGGGCCCUUGUUGAACAAGAAACCAGCUAAUAAGCAGAAAACCAAGGCCCGCAUCCUCAGCCUCAUCUGGUCUGGGUCAUCUGGUCGAGUCUCUGAAAAUUCAUCAAUCAGUGGUAGCAGAAUUGCCUUCUGGUCAUCCACAACCGUGGCCCUAGCCUGUGGCCGGCUGAACUGGAAUAGACUUUCAAACAACCGUACCUCCCCAAAUUGAUCUUUUCUACCUUGGAGAGACUCUUAGUCCAAUUGUACAUACUAAUAAAACAGUAAGUGCAGAAACAUAAAAAAAAAUUUUCACAUUUUGGCUCCUAAGGCCCAAAAGUCCACAUUUGGCCACAAAGGCCCAAAAGUUCACAUUUUGGCCCCUAAGGCCCAAGAAAUUUUCACAAUUUGGCCCUAAAGGCCCAAAAAUUCCCAAUUUGGCCACAAAGGCCCAAAAGUUCACAUUUUGGCCCCUAAGGCCCAAGAAAUUUUCACAAUUUGGCCCUAA
Molecule: long non-coding RNA, 758 nt
Filed under: Jatropha curcas
Lineage: Eukaryota; Viridiplantae; Streptophyta; Magnoliopsida; Malpighiales; Euphorbiaceae
Description: long non-coding RNA (JCUR_LNC001336)
Source: RNAcentral